This 929-nucleotide long non-coding RNA is filed under the name Brassica napus (rape). Its description in RNAcentral is "long non-coding RNA (BNAP_LNC020178)". The record is from RNAcentral. Lineage: Eukaryota; Viridiplantae; Streptophyta; Magnoliopsida; Brassicales; Brassicaceae.
ACUUCCUCCACUACUUCCCUUUGUUUAAUUCUUCAUGUCAACAGAUGUUAGGUGAUGAAGUUUUUAAGCAGACAUUGAUAGAGCUAAAGAUAAUUAGGUUUACAGAUAGUCAAGUAAUGAGAGAGAGAGAGAGAGAGAGAGAAUUCGCCAUUAGUAGAGUUGAUGUUUAAUAGUGAUUGACCUUUGGGAUUUGGUCGAAUUGAGGCUGUUCAUCGCAGGGACGGAACACAUUUACGGAGCUUCGAACGGUUACGUUGGUGGAUGAUGAGGCCGAGUUAAUGCGAAAGAGUGGGAGGAGUGGCAGGAUCGACGUUAAUGCUUGAGUAAAUGGUAUAUGUUUGCCGAAAGCUGAAUACGUUACAGAGCCAUUGUUUGGUGUUUCGAGCUUCAGAGAGUGAAGGUGCUGGUGAUGAAGAUUAACCAAACCAAAUAACAACUGGGCCUAAGAGAGUGAUAGCCCAUCAAAGUAUUAAUCGUUUCAACAUCGAAAUCGAAACAAAAUGAAAAUAAACGAGGACAGGCGUCACAAAAUGCCCCAAGCACAUUGGUGAGGUGGCUCAAAGAGGAGAGAGAGGCAAGCCAACUUUAUUGUAUAAGAUUUAUGAGAAACUGAGUCUGUUACAAGUUGUUCACUAUUUUCUUUUUAGUUGUAUCUUUCCCUUUUUCUUACUCCUCAAAAUUUAAAUUGAUUUUAAACUGAUUUUUAUUGCUUUUUAGGUUUUGGUUUUUGAUUUAGUUUUAAGAUUUUGGCUUUUUCAAUUUUUAGUUUCUGAUUUUUCUGUAGAUUUUAGCUUUUCGAAAAACUUGGACGAUGAUUUAGAUUUUAGAAAAUUUUAGUUGAAAAAAUUUAGAUUAAAUUAAUAAAGAAUAAAAAUAAUAAGAAUAAUAAAAAAAAAUUUAAAGCAAUUAAAAUACAGUAUAUUAUCACC